GUUUCAAUUCCUCACAGGCAGACUAUCGGCAAUGGAAGAUAUUCGGAAUGCGUUUGGAUCCGAAAG
This 66-nucleotide small RNA is filed under the name Acididesulfobacillus acetoxydans. RNAcentral's name for it is "Peptococcaceae bacterium INE non-coding RNA". The record is from RNAcentral. Lineage: Bacteria; Bacillati; Bacillota; Clostridia; Eubacteriales; Peptococcaceae.